GACGAACGCUGGCGGCGUGCUUAACACAUGCAAGUCGAACGGAAAGGCCCUGCUUGCAGGGUGCUCGAGUGGCGAACGGGUGAGUAACACGUGGGUGAUCUGCCCCUUACUUUGGGAUAAGCCUGGGAAACUGGGUCUAAUACUGGAUAGGACCAUGCUGUAGGUGGUGUGGUGGAAAGAUUUUUUCGGUAAGGGAUGAGCUCGCGGCCUAUCAGCUUGUUGGUGGGGUAAUGGCCUACCAAGGCGUCGACGGGUAGCCGGCCUGAGAGGGUGGACGGCCACAGUGGGACUGCGCUACGGCCCAGACUCCUAGGGGAGGCAGCAGUGGGGAAUAUUGCACAAUGGGCGCAAGCCUGAUGCAGCGACGCCGCGUGGGGGAUGACGGCCUUCGGGUUGUAAACUCCUUUCAGCCAUGACGAAGCCUCUUUUGGGGUGACGGUAGUGGUAGAAGAAGCACCGGCUAACUACGUG
Molecule: ribosomal RNA, 471 nt
Filed under: uncultured bacterium
Lineage: Bacteria
Description: partial 16S ribosomal RNA
Rfam family: Bacterial small subunit ribosomal RNA
Source: RNAcentral